CCCUUAGAUGUCCUGGGCCGCACGCGCGCUACACUGAUGCAUGCAACGAGUUUAUAACCUUGGCCUGAAAGGUCUGGGUAAUCUUUUGAACGUGCAUCGUGAUAGGGAUAGAUUUUUGCAAUUGUUAAUCUUGAACGAGGAAUUCCUAGUAAACGCGAGUCAUCAGCUCGCAUUGAUUACGUCCCUGCCCUUUGUACACACCGCCCGUCGCACCUACCGAUUGAAUGGUUCGGUGAAGAUCUCGGACUUCGAUAUUUAUUCUUUAUUGAGUUUAUAUUGUGGGAAGUUAUCUAAACCUCAUCAUUUAGAGGAAGGUGAAGUCGUAACA
Molecule: ribosomal RNA, 328 nt
Filed under: uncultured eukaryote
Lineage: Eukaryota
Description: partial 18S ribosomal RNA
Rfam family: Eukaryotic small subunit ribosomal RNA
Source: RNAcentral